Molecule: ribosomal RNA, 443 nt
Filed under: uncultured prokaryote
Description: bacterial SSU rRNA
Rfam family: Bacterial small subunit ribosomal RNA
Source: RNAcentral
CCACGGGUGGCAGCAGUGGGGAAUUUUGGACAAUGGGCGCAAGCCUGAUCCAGCCAUGCCGCGUGCAGGAUGAAGGCCUUCGGGUUGUAAACUGCUUUUGUACGGAACGAAAAGACUCUGGUUAAUACCUGGGGUCCAUGACGGUACCGUAAGAAUAAGCACCGGCUAACUACGUGCCAGCAGCCGCGGUAAUACGUAGGGUGCGAGCGUUAAUCGGAAUUACUGGGCGUAAAGCGUGCGCAGGCGGUUAUGUAAGACAGAUGUGAAAUCCCCGGGCUCAACCUGGGAACUGCAUUUGUUACGGCAUAGCUAGAGGACGGCAGAGGGGGAUGGAAUUCCGCGUGUAGCAGUGAAAUGCGUAGAUAUGCGGAGGAACACCGAUGGCGAAGGCAAUCCACUGGGCCUGUACUGACGCUCAUGCACGAAAUCGUGGGGAGCAAACA